RNAcentral lists this ribosomal RNA (335 nucleotides) under uncultured Planctomycetales bacterium. RNAcentral describes it as "bacterial SSU rRNA". It matches the Rfam family "Bacterial small subunit ribosomal RNA", at positions 473 to 806 of the family's 1533-position model. Lineage: Bacteria; Pseudomonadati; Planctomycetota; Planctomycetia; Planctomycetales. The record is from RNAcentral.
CAAAGGCUCCAAAGGAAGCCACGGCUAACUCUGUGCCAGCAGCCGCGGUAAUACAGAGGUGGCGAGCGUUGUUCGGAAUUAUUGGGCGUAAAGAGCACGUAGGUGGGUUUGCAAGUCAGAUGUGAAAGCCUUCUGUUCAACGGAAGAAUUGCAUCUGAAACUGCUGAUCUUGAGUAUAGGAGGGGAGAAUGGAACUUCUGGUGGAGCGGUGAAAUGCGUAGGUAUCAGAAGGAACGCCGGCGGCGAAAGCGAUUCUCUGGCCUAUUACUGACACUCAGUGUGCGAAAGCUGGGGGAGCAAACGGGAUUAGAUACCCCGGUAGUCCUAGCUGUAAA